This 1430-nucleotide ribosomal RNA is filed under the name Pseudomonas sp. RNAcentral's name for it is "bacterial SSU rRNA". It matches the Rfam family "Bacterial small subunit ribosomal RNA". The record is from RNAcentral. Lineage: Bacteria; Pseudomonadati; Pseudomonadota; Gammaproteobacteria; Pseudomonadales; Pseudomonadaceae.
GCGGCAGGCCUAACACAUGCAAGUCGAGCGGCAGCACGGGUACUUGUACCUGGUGGCGAGCGGCGGACGGGUGAGUAAUGCCUAGGAAUCUGCCUGGUAGUGGGGGAUAACGUCCGGAAACGGGCGCUAAUACCGCAUACGUCCUACGGGAGAAAGUGGGGGAUCUUCGGACCUCACGCUAUCAGAUGAGCCUAGGUCGGAUUAGCUAGUUGGUGAGGUAAUGGCUCACCAAGGCGACGAUCCGUAACUGGUCUGAGAGGAUGAUCAGUCACACUGGAACUGAGACACGGUCCAGACUCCUACGGGAGGCAGCAGUGGGGAAUAUUGGACAAUGGGCGAAAGCCUGAUCCAGCCAUGCCGCGUGUGUGAAGAAGGUCUUCGGAUUGUAAAGCACUUUAAGUUGGGAGGAAGGGUACUUACCUAAUACGUGAGUAUUUUGACGUUACCGACAGAAUAAGCACCGGCUAACUCUGUGCCAGCAGCCGCGGUAAUACAGAGGGUGCAAGCGUUAAUCGGAAUUACUGGGCGUAAAGCGCGCGUAGGUGGUUUGUUAAGUUGGAUGUGAAAGCCCCGGGCUCAACCUGGGAACUGCAUCCAAAACUGGCAAGCUAGAGUAUGGUAGAGGGUGGUGGAAUUUCCUGUGUAGCGGUGAAAUGCGUAGAUAUAGGAAGGAACACCAGUGGCGAAGGCGACCACCUGGACUGAUACUGACACUGAGGUGCGAAAGCGUGGGGAGCAAGCAGGAUUAGAUACCCUGGUAGUCCACGCCGUAAACGAUGUCAACUAGCCGUUGGGAGCCUUGAGCUCUUAGUGGCGCAGCUAACGCAUUAAGUUGACCGCCUGGGGAGUACGGCCGCAAGGUUAAAACUCAAAUGAAUUGACGGGGGCCCGCACAAGCGGUGGAGCAUGUGGUUUAAUUCGAAGCAACGCGAAGAACCUUACCAGGCCUUGACAUCCAAUGAACUUUCCAGAGAUGGAUUGGUGCCUUCGGGAACAUUGAGACAGGUGCUGCAUGGCUGUCGUCAGCUCGUGUCGUGAGAUGUUGGGUUAAGUCCCGUAACGAGCGCAACCCUUGUCCUUAGUUACCAGCACGUUAUGGUGGGCACUCUAAGGAGACUGCCGGUGACAAACCGGAGGAAGGUGGGGAUGACGUCAAGUCAUCAUGGCCCUUACGGCCUGGGCUACACACGUGCUACAAUGGUCGGUACAAAGGGUUGCCAAGCCGCGAGGUGGAGCUAAUCCCAUAAAACCGAUCGUAGUCCGGAUCGCAGUCUGCAACUCGACUGCGUGAAGUCGGAAUCGCUAGUAAUCGCGAAUCAGAAUGUCGCGGUGAAUACGUUCCCGGGCCUUGUACACACCGCCCGUCACACCAUGGGAGUGGGUUGCACCAGAAGUAGCUAGUCUAACCUUCGGGAGGACGGUUACCACGG